RNAcentral lists this ribosomal RNA (491 nucleotides) under uncultured bacterium. RNAcentral's name for it is "partial 16S ribosomal RNA". It matches the Rfam family "Bacterial small subunit ribosomal RNA", at positions 29 to 506 of the family's 1533-position model. The record is from RNAcentral.
AGUGAACGCUGGCGGUAGGCCUAACACAUGCAAGUCGAACGGCAGCACAGUAAGAGCUUGCUCUUACGGGUGGCGAGUGGCGGACGGGUGAGGAAUACAUCGGAAUCUACUUUUUCGUGGGGGAUGACGUAGGGAAACUUACGCUAAUACCGCAUACGACCUACGGGUGAAAGCAGGGGAUCUUCGGACCUUGCGCGAUUGAAUGAGCCGAUGUCGGAUUAGCUAGUUGGCGGGGUAAAGGCCCACCAAGGCGACGAUCCGUAGCUGGUCUGAGAGGAUGAUCAGCCACACUGGAACUGAGACACGGUCCAGACUCCUACGGGAGGCAGCAGUGGGGAAUAUUGGACAAUGGGCGCAAGCCUGAUCCAGCCAUACCGCGUGGGUGAAGAAGGCCUUCGGGUUGUAAAGCCCUUUUGUUGGGAAAGAAAAGCAGCAGGUUAAGACCCCGCUGUUCUGACGGUACCCAAAGAAUAAGCACCGGCUAACUUCGU